This 201-nucleotide ribosomal RNA is filed under the name uncultured bacterium. Its description in RNAcentral is "partial 16S ribosomal RNA". It matches the Rfam family "Bacterial small subunit ribosomal RNA", at positions 1302 to 1500 of the family's 1533-position model. The record is from RNAcentral.
AGUCUGCAACUCGACUACACGAAGCCGGAAUCGCUAGUAAUCGCGCAUCAGCCAUGGCGCGGUGAAUACGUUCCCGGGCCUUGUACACACCGCCCGUCACACCAUGGGAGCCGGAAAUGCCCGAAGCCAGUGACCCAACCUUAGGGAGGGAGCUGUCGAAGGUGGAGCCGGUAACUAGGGGUGAAGUCGUAACAAGGUACC